RNAcentral lists this long non-coding RNA (314 nucleotides) under Elaeis guineensis (African oil palm). RNAcentral describes it as "long non-coding RNA (EGUI_LNC051189)". The record is from RNAcentral. Lineage: Eukaryota; Viridiplantae; Streptophyta; Magnoliopsida; Arecales; Arecaceae.
GCCAUAUCAGACCAUCAAACACUUUAAAACCUAUGUUAGGCUGAUAGAGGGUUUGAUGAGGUGCGACAUGGUUCUUAAACCCAAUUAAGAAGGACUCUCCAAGCCUUUUGACGCCAAAAGAAAAUUAUUGCCCACCAAAAAUCUGCACCAAGAUAUGAUAGAGUCCUUUUCUAUUUGGACUCUCUCAUUUCAAUGCCAAUUAGGGCCAUGUGGUGCCAUCUGAUGGUUGUCCACAUCAGAGAAGAACCCAAAUUAAUUUUCAAUUAAUUUAGUUCAUAAACUAAAUCAGGUUUGAAUCAAAACUGAUCAAAAUA